GGUUUCCCUUUACGAAUUGUAGUUUAAAGAAGUGUUUUCUGUUGGAGUUUCGGUAAAAGUUCUUUGGAAUAGGACAUCAUAGAGGGUGAGAAUCCCGUAUUUGACCGUUACUUUCCACUGUGUGAUACACUUUCAAAGAGUCGGAUUGUUUGGGAAUGCAGUCCAAAAUGGGUGGUAAAUUUCAUCUAAAGCUAAAUAUUGGCGAGAGACCGAUAGCGAACAAGUACCGUGAGGGAAAGAUGAAAAGAACUUUGAAAAGAGAGUUAAACAGUACGUGAAAUUGUCAAAAGGGAAGCGUUUGACACCAGUGUUGUUUAGUUGAAAAUCAAUUAAAUAAUUUUUGAUUUUGAGUAGUAUUGACUUCAUCAGCUUGCUGCUCUCUUUUCGGAGAUUAUUU
This 397-nucleotide ribosomal RNA is filed under the name uncultured Neocallimastigomycetes. RNAcentral describes it as "eukaryotic LSU rRNA". It matches the Rfam family "Eukaryotic large subunit ribosomal RNA", at positions 127 to 520 of the family's 3401-position model. The record is from RNAcentral. Lineage: Eukaryota; Fungi; Neocallimastigomycota; Neocallimastigomycetes.